AUUGAACGCUGGCGGAAUGCUUUACACAUGCAAGUCGAGCGGCAGCGCGGCCUUCGGGCUGGCGGCGAGCGGCGAACGGGUGAGUAAUGCAUCGGAACAUGCCCAGUCGUGGGGGAUAACACUUCGAAAGAAGUGCUAAUACCGCAUACGUCCUGAGGGUGGAAGCGGGGGAUCGCAAGACCUCGCGCGAUUGGAGUGGCCGAUGUUAGAUUAGCUAGUUGGUGGGGUAAAGGCCUACCAAGGCGACGAUCUGUAGCUGGUCUGAGAGGAUGAUCAGCCACACUGGGACUGAGACACGGCCCAGACUCCUACGGGAGGCAGCAGUGGGGAAUUUUGGACAAUGGGGGCAACCCUGAUCCAGCCAUUCCGCGUGAGUGAAGAAGGCCUUCGGGUUGUAAAGCUCUUUCGGCAGGAACGAAACGGUGGGCUCUAACAUAGUCCGCUAAUGACGGUACCUGAAGAAGAAGCACCGGCUAACUACGUG
Molecule: ribosomal RNA, 484 nt
Filed under: uncultured bacterium
Lineage: Bacteria
Description: partial 16S ribosomal RNA
Rfam family: Bacterial small subunit ribosomal RNA
Source: RNAcentral